Molecule: unclassified non-coding RNA, 2563 nt
Filed under: Ustilaginoidea virens
Lineage: Eukaryota; Fungi; Ascomycota; Sordariomycetes; Hypocreales; Clavicipitaceae
Description: partial contains 28S ribosomal RNA, 28S-18S ribosomal RNA intergenic spacer, and 18S ribosomal RNA
Rfam family: Eukaryotic small subunit ribosomal RNA (bases 2414-2563)
Source: RNAcentral
CUGCUGGAUAAUGGCUGAACGCCUCUAAGUCAGAAUCCAUGCCAGAACGCGGCGAUACCGCCCGCACGUACAGAUGGACAAGAAUAGGCUCCGGCUUAGCGUCUUAGCAGGCGAUCUGUCCGCGGCGCAGGAAGCGCGCCGCGGUGUUUCGCGUAUUGUAAUUUCAACACGAGCGGGGUCAAAUCCUUUGCAGACGACUUAGCUGUGCGAAACGGUCCUGUGAGCAGUAGAGUAGCCUUGUUGUUACGAUCUGCUGAGGGUCAGCCGUCACUUCGCCUCGAUUUCCCCGACGAUGCCGCUGGGUCUCUCGCUGCGGCGAGGCCCCAGCGUGUCGUGGGGGGGGACUGUGCAGGGGAGGGAGAGGGAGAGGGAGAGGGAGAGCUCGCCCGCCUAGACGGGCGGCGACGACGACGACGAGUACGAGGACGACGAGAUUGCCUCUGCGUCUGCGAGGGCCGAGACGGUGCAGGGUAAGCCGGCUGACUUGGCUUUGACUUUGCUUCCGUCUCUGUUUUCUUCUCAUUCCCCCCUCUGCAAAGGUGAGCGGAUCGGGGCUCGUGGGUGUUUGGUUUGUAUGGGCGGGAGCGCACCUUUUGUUUUUCGCCAUACAAAUCGACGCUUUCGGGACGAGAAAAGUAGGCCGGGUGGGUGUUGGUGGCGGGGCCGCGACGUCGACGAGGUCGGAGGGCCUGCGAGCGGGGGACCUCGCUGGCAGGCAGGCAGGGGCGGGUCAGCGGUCGCCGCGGGGGGGAGGGGGUCUGGGCGCUGGUUCCAGGUAGGUAGAACAAGAAAGGCUGUUAGGAGGCGCGGUGAAGGUAAUGGAUUUAUAGGGGGAAGGGGGCGAAGUUGGCGGUAAGAGGCCCUUACGGGGAGGGAGCUGCCGACCUAGCGGCUGGGGCAGACGCUGUCGGGAGGGGUUGGCGCGCUGCAGGUCACGUGACAUCGGGUAAGUCACGUGGGAUCACAGAAGGAAGACAUAGGGUAGCUCCGAUGUUCUGCUAUGUAGAAGUCACGUGACAUUGGGUAAGUCACGUGGGAUCACAGAAGGAAGACAUAGGGUAGCUCCGAUGUUCUGCUAUGUAGAGGUCACGUGACAUUGGGUAAGUCACGUGGGAUCACAGAAGGAAGACAUAGGGUAGCUCCGAUGUUCUGCUAUGUAGAGGUCACGUGACAUUGGGUAAGUCACGUGGGUAUCUAGAGGUCACGUGACAUUGGGCAAGUCACGUGGGAUUACAGAAGGAAGACAUAGGGUAGCUCUGAUGUUCUCUUAUCUAGAGGUCACGUGAGAAUAAAGGUAUAGGGUAGGCUCUCUGUCCUCUAUUGAUAAGGUAUUAUAGAAGUUGAAUAACCCAAUGUCUUCCGUACUAAAACCGACUUAGAUACGAAAUGGUGGGGGGCGGGGUGGUAUAGGGUAGGUCAGUCGGUGUAGGGUAGGCUUGGGUUGGCUGCGGCGUUAUCCCUCUCCUCGCUGCGCUGGUGGUGCCUGGUGCAUCAGUGCAUUAGUGCAUGCUUGCAGCGCUCGCAGGGUGUGCCGUCGGGCGCUGGUGGUGCCUAGUGCAAUUGGUGCAUGCUUGCAGCGCUCGCAGGGUGUGCCGUCGGGCGCUGGUGUGGUGCGGGGCGGCGCGCGAGGAACUUUCCCCAAAAUCUGCGCUCGUGGGUUUUUCGUUUGUAUGGGCGGGAGCAGACCUUUUUUUUUUGCCAUACAAAUUGAGCGUUUUCGAGAAAAAAAAAAACGCGCGUUGUAUGGUGGGGGCGGGGCCGGAGCGUCGAUGGGGUCGGUGGGUAUGUGAGGGAGGGGCGAUCAGCCCGGACAGCCCUCGGGGUCAGAGGCGAGCAAGCCCUGUGCUGCAGGGCGUGUGAGCGCUGGCUUGUGGGCGAGUACCGCUCCCGACGUACCAUAUCUUGCACGGCGCCUAUAGGUGACUUCUCAAAAGAUCUUGCAGGCUUCCGUCUCGGUUGAGACAGAGUCAUAAUGGGCGCCAAACGUCCCCGAAACUGGUCGCUACGGCUUCACAGCGUACGGGAUAUGCCUGGCUGCAGCAGGGGGCCUCGUGCCCCGUUCCUGCGUGCCGGAUGGGUUCUGUGGGCGAUUGGCCGCUGGGCGGGUUCGCCGUAGACACAGAGCAGCAGGGGCCAACCACGGGCAGCUGACGCCGGAAUGGCUGACGAUGCCCGCUGAGUCCUCCUCCUAGGGCGCCCAGGCCGCACGAACGUGCGCGCCGACGGCGGCCCUGGGGAACGUUAGAGGGGGAAAGCGGAAUGCCUCGGGCGGUCCUGCUGGCCUUUGCAAGCCGGCGCUAAAGGGCCACCCGCCAGGCGCCGCCCGUCCUCGUGGCGGGCGACCACCAGAAAACUAACUCUCUCCAGCGCCGGCCCCCGCGGCGCUGGCAGGCCACCCCCGGCGAACGAUAGUUACCUGGUUGAUUCUGCCAGUAGUCAUAUGCUUGUCUCAAAGAUUAAGCCAUGCAUGUCUAAGUAUAAGCAAUUAUACGGCGAAACUGCGAAUGGCUCAUUAUAUAAGUUAUCGUUUAUUUGAUAGUAUCUUGCUACUUGGAUAACCGUG